GCUGGAUUCGCUAGUAAUCGCGCAUCAGCCAUGGCGCGGUGAAUACGUUCCCGGGCCUUGUACACACCGCCCGUCAAGCCAUGGGAGCCGGGGGUGCUUGAAGUGCGUCGCCGCAAGGCGCGCCCUAGAGCAAAACCGGUGACUGGGGCUAAGUCGUAACAAGGUAAC
RNAcentral lists this ribosomal RNA (168 nucleotides) under uncultured bacterium. RNAcentral's name for it is "partial 16S ribosomal RNA". It matches the Rfam family "Bacterial small subunit ribosomal RNA", at positions 1325 to 1500 of the family's 1533-position model. The record is from RNAcentral.